This is a long non-coding RNA of Macadamia integrifolia, 537 nucleotides long. RefSeq lists it as uncharacterized. NCBI's taxonomy places the organism in Eukaryota, Viridiplantae, Streptophyta, Magnoliopsida, Proteales, Proteaceae. The record is from RefSeq and is a predicted model, not a curated record. The transcript is spliced from 3 exons.
UUCCCCCUUCCUCUUGUUGAUUCUCCUUUGUUGCAGCGCAGCCUUCGCCGACUCCCUUGGGUCGAUCAGGAGAGAACUGCACCGUUGGUGUCUUUCUCCAUGAAGAAGACUCCUCCCUUUGUUGGCAACAGCUGUCUAGCACAAUUGGUAGGAAUUGCUGGUUGAAGCAGCCUUCCGUCUGGCACUUUCAGAGUUCGAGUCCCCCACCCUCCUUACUGCGUUGGGAUGCCUUGCGAGACAGCCUUAGGCCUGUGAUAUGCAACUCUAUACUGACAUGUGGCAACCGAUUACUCACCAUAUUCAAAUAGAAACCAGGAACGGCUAUGCGAAGCGAGCAACCUUGAAUCCCAAGAUCCGAGGGAGAUCCAGAGCUUCCCGACAGAGGGUAGACAUCCCAACACCAACAUAUCUUCGAUUGCAACAAGCUGUCAUCCUAGUUGGGCCAUAGGCCCUCGAGAGGAAUUGUCCAAAAAAAAAAUGAUAAUCCUUAUAAUUAUGACAUUGCUACUCAUUUAAAGGAUUUCAUUUUAAUUACAA